This is a long non-coding RNA of Ictalurus punctatus (channel catfish), 3509 nucleotides long. The record is from Ensembl. Lineage: Eukaryota; Metazoa; Chordata; Actinopteri; Siluriformes; Ictaluridae.
CACACACACACACACACACACACACACACACACACACACACACACACACAGAGAUGCACGCCACCAGACGUACAUUCUGGGAGAAUCCAUACUCCCGCACCUUCCACAGCUGGGAUCCAGAGCGUGAUGGCUAUAUACAGUUGAUUUAAGUUAUGAAUGUGAUAAUGUGUGAUAAUAAUACUAUAGCCUACCAAUUAUGGACUGGCGCCAGUGACAUCAAUAAAACUGAGACAUCAAUAAAAGCUAAGAGGCUCUGAGUCAAAUUAAGUCUGUUGCGUGUAUUUCCUUGUGAUCUGAGAUUAUCUGAAAUGAGUCCAAAGCUUCAAGGCGUUCACUGUCUCUUCGGCUGCUACAGUGUGUCCGCUUGAUCUUUGUAGAGCUCUGUUUCCACCAUGAAAGCAGUUAAAAAACUGCUUUUUUUUGCUUUUUUUUAAAAAAGAAAAAAAAGAAAGAAACACCGGUGUGGGCGACCAUGGAAACCGAAAUACAUAUACACUCAUUUGUGCCGGCUUGGCAAACAAAGAGGAAGUGACGGCUGUGUUUGAAAAUCAAUCCACAUCCAAUAAUGCCUUGGCCUGGUUAUUCAAAGAUCAAAAAAUGUCCAUGUAUUCAUGUAUGUAGAGUAGUAAUAUAGGCUAUUCAUGGACCUACAUAGCCAUUCACACAGAAUAAAACAAUUCAGAAGGGAUUACAUGUGGUUCUACUGUAGAACAAAAGCCCACUGGCACCUUGAACACAAUAAAUAAAUGAUGCACAAUUAAAGGGCUGUUUGAAAUGAAAACUAAAUAUUCCGUAGCAACGUUGAAAAGGGAAACCCAUCCUCUCACAAUGAUUAGACGCAUUAUUGCAUUUUCAGUAAAACACACUAGACUACACACCCUGCUCAAUAAAUAAAUAUCAGUCAGUAGGAUCACAUUUAGUCAGCAGUUUUUUCUAUAAAGGAGUCUGUUUUUAGUAGUGACAGGAAAUGUUCCUAGGAAAACCAUUAACGUGCAGGUGUGUUCCUGUGAUAAUAUAAAUGGUUAAGUGUGUACGUGUGUGUGUGUAUGUGGAGGGGGGCUUCAGGUCCGGAUGUUUGCUUACACCGCAGCCGUUGCCAUAGUGACAGAGAAAAAAAAACUGGCCCUCAGCAUGAGCAGUGGCUGCGUCAAUGUGGAGAGUGACAUCACUAAACUUCCUGUUUCGAAGAAAGUCACCCGUUGCUUGCUCGCUGUCAUUCACAAACGUUCGCCCUGUUUCUUUCAUUUUCAAUCGUAGACACGCACUUCCCCUGUUACUGCUUUGUGAUCUCUUUUUACACAACAAAGACAGCCGAGAAACUACAACCACAUAAAAAUGUCAGUAGUUUUUUGCAGGUUUACUAUUCACAAAAAGGAUUUUGCAUACAUUACAAAUGUCCUGUUAUAAAACCAUGGAUACAAAUGUCACAUUUCUAAAUAUGGAAUGUAACUAAGAUUAAAUAAUAUAAAUAAUAAAACAAGAUCAAUAACACAACACUGCUCUGCUUUUAUCAUUGCGUACUUUAUUAAGCCAGUUAAAUGAAUAUGAUCAAUUAUUAGGGCUCAUCUGACCAGGUCUUCCCAAAGCAGUUGUAGCUACAUUUACAAAAUGCCUAAAUAGAUGACACAAAGAUGGCUUUGAGUAGUAGAAUAUGUCAAAUGCCACCUCUUUCAUUUUACUGGAUGCUAUAAUAGUAUGGGAUGGAUUCCAAACACUUUUCCAUUUGAAAUCGUGCACGGGUUUGUCCCAGAAAGGAAAACACGGAAGAGUCAAAUUGGUGAGUGAAGGAAUCGUUUUUGAGGAAUCCGAGUAGAAACAGAUUUCAACCCUGGCACAAACACUACUGGACUUCUAACCUAAUCUCUCUGGCUUAUACACACCUGCUGACACCUUUUCAGGUCUGUGAAAAGGCGGCAAUCACCAUGGGAACACAACAGGUAAAUACAAGCUGCGAUAAGGGUGUGAGGACGUCGUUCUCUGAGCAACACACACACACACACACACACCAACAGACGCACCACACCCCACAGCUGGAUAACGCUCUACUUUCCACCUUUGGCUCUCUCUGUUUCCGCCAUUAUGAGAUAUAAUUGCCAUUACUGAUGCAGUGGCAGACGCUGUACUGCACGACAUUAUGAUAGCGUGACAGCAACUCACUGCCUCAGGCAUUCAGUCUCCAAACACAACACAAGUAAGCAUAUCUCUUACAGUUAAACACAUACACACACACACACACACACACACACACACACACACACACUGUGUAUAAUCUCAGUUCUGUGACACUCUGCUAAGCAAGUCGAAAGUGAUUGUAGUUCCACUUCACGCAGUACUAAGACACACUCUCCUCCACUACUUUUAAUAAAGUUUUCCACAAACACUGGCUCUAUCAUAUGAAGGUUAGGAAAAAUCCAUCAGCCCGGGUCGGUAAGCUAAGGCCAGGCCCUGAGCAAACACACGUUACUGUAAUGCAAACAGUGGCACUAGGAGAAGCGGCCCAUUAGUGGUAAACUUGAUGCAAAGCCACAGAGAGGGGGAGGAGGGCGGCGGCUUACUGGAAACAGGAGAGCUGGGAAAAAAUGAGCCGAGCCCUCCAUAUGUAGAAAGAACUUGGUUUCAAGGGAAAAGGCUGCUAGUCAGUGACACAUCCUGCAAAAUGGAAUGGGAUGAUAAAGGUAUGAAUCCAGCAGCACUGCAGGCCAUGUAGUAAAUAAAGAGCAAUAUUGUUAGCCUUAAAUUAUUUGGUUAGAAAUCUUUCUCUAUAAUAUUAUAGAUUGUUGUUUCCGACUUAUUACGAGAAUUUUCUCCUGGGAUGUUUGUUUAAGGGGCAUGCCAUUUUAUUUGCCAUUGUCAAUAAUGAUACAUCAUUACAGACAGUGAACCCACUAUUAGAAAUUUCCUAAUAAUGCUACAGUAUACGGUUCGUACAAUUUAAGUACAAUUUACAUAAAGAUGGCGUGGGAGAUAUUAGUGCCAGAGCUGUACAACUGCGUGCUUUAAAGAGUACACUUUGUACGUACAACUGCCAUACUUGAUCAACAAGAAAAACUGUGUCUACACAGUUCUGAUGCAGGUCGGGUAAAACCGCGGUUAACUCAGGUAAGUAAGAAGAUCCAAAGCUGAGACUCGCACAACAGCCACUUGAUCCGGGCUCCUGGAAGAUUGGAAGAACUCCACACUUACAUUCCAGACAGAACACACACGCGCACACACCACACACACACACACACACACACACACCACACACACACUUUCUCCUGCCAACACCGUCUUUGUCAUCUUAUCUACCUAUCUAAAAAGACUGGCACCCAAACACUGGCUUUCUCUUUUCUAUGCAUCACUAGACAAAAAUGCACACAAGCCCACAAACUGAUAACCGCAAGACUCUUUAAUUAGAGUCCCAUAACUACUGUGCAUAUCUCCAACCAUUAUUACUGAACAAAGGAAAUCAACAUUUGCUUUCUGGACACACACACACACACACACACACACAAACACACACACAAACA